Long non-coding RNA from Callorhinus ursinus (northern fur seal), 964 nucleotides. RefSeq lists it as uncharacterized. Lineage: Eukaryota; Metazoa; Chordata; Mammalia; Carnivora; Otariidae. The record is from RefSeq and is a predicted model, not a curated record.
UCCACAUGUGAAUUUGGACACAGCAGAUGAAAACAUUCAGUCCAUAGCAAAUGCUUUUUGUUUAUUUCCAAGUUUCAGGUAAUUUUCUUAACUCUCCAAACACUCCAGCCUCAUAAAUGGAAACUACUAUCUGUUCCACUUAAAGGUGAAGAAAUUAAGACACUGGAAAGAAACAGUUGGGAGGGAAGAUUUUGAAGGAAGGAUGCUCUGAGCAAACACAAGGGACUUAAGUACAACGUAAGAGAUUCGAGGUCAGAGAUGGUCAGAGUUUAUGAGUGAAGAAGAGAUGAAACAGGAGCUCCACAGGCAACCCCCCAAGGAAUUUUCCUGACUAUGAAAUGGCAGGGAUCUUACCAAGAGAAGACAGGACACUUUCUGCAUUUGAACUGGAACAGCCUUACAUGUGUCAAAAGAAAUUGACAGUGACCAAUAAAAAAGAAAAACAAUAAUUAACAAGAGAAAUACACUAGAAAUACACUAAAAGUUGUAGCUCUGUGAAAACAGGCUUACCAAAAUCUGCAAGUACUUCUAGCUCCAUUUAUUCUCUUGCUAAAUGGCCAUACUCCUAAGAAGAAUAACUCUUUAUAAGCUUUUUCAUCAGGAGUAGCUUAACAUGAGCGAAAAGUGAUUUAAAAAGAAGAAAGCCAAAAUGCCUUCACAAUGUUAAGAAAGAUUCCAAAAUCUGUCCAAAAGAGUACACCGAAUGCUUUUUUUUUUUUUUUUGUCUAUGGAAAAUUACUCGUCCUAUUUAUCCAUCUUGCAAAUCAGAAAAGUCCAGAGGAAGAAACAGGGCGUGAGAUGUGCCAAUUAGAAGGAAGCAGCCAAAGAGCAGUGGGAAGACAGAAAAGGCUGCUCUGUGUCACAAGGUACAGUUGCAGGACCCACGUCAGAAACACAACAAAACUUCCCUCUGAACUCAGCAUUCCCUGUCUCACCUAAAGUAUGAAUAAAACAUUGGGAACUA